CUAUUACUAGGAUUUGCAUUUUGAUAAUUAUAUGAAAAUAGCUGCUCCCUAUUACAUUUUCUUAGCAGUUCAUUUCGGUAAUUAUGGAAAUGUUCAAAUGUACAUAAUAA
Molecule: non-coding RNA, 110 nt
Organism: Bombyx mori (domestic silkworm)
Lineage: Eukaryota; Metazoa; Arthropoda; Insecta; Lepidoptera; Bombycidae
Source: RefSeq, marked provisional